GAUGAACGCUGGCGGCGUGCCUAAUACAUGCCAGUCGAGCGAACAGACGAGGAGCUUGCUCCUCUGACGUUAGCGGCGGACGGGUGAGUAACACGUGGAUAACCUACCUAUAAGACUGGGAUAACUUCGGGAAACCGGAGCUAAUACCGGAUAAUAUAUUGAACCGCAUGGUUCAAUAGUGAAAGACGGUUUUGCUGUCACUUAUAGAUGGAUCCGCGCCGCAUUAGCUAGUUGGUAAGGUAACGGCUUACCAAGGCAACGAUGCGUAGCCGACCUGAGAGGGUGCUCGUCUACACUGGAGCUUGAACAGGGUCCAGACUCCUACAAGAAGGAGGAGAAGGGAAUCUUGCGCAAUGGGGGAAAGCCUGACGGUGCAAUGCCGCAUGAGUGAUGAAGGGCUUCGGAUCGUAAUGCUCUGUUAUUAGGGAAGAAGAAUUGUGUAAGUAACUAUGCACAUAUAGACGGUACCUAAUCAGAAAGGCACGGCUAGCUAGGUG
RNAcentral lists this ribosomal RNA (497 nucleotides) under uncultured bacterium. RNAcentral describes it as "partial 16S ribosomal RNA". It matches the Rfam family "Bacterial small subunit ribosomal RNA", at positions 28 to 507 of the family's 1533-position model. The record is from RNAcentral.